RNAcentral lists this ribosomal RNA (50 nucleotides) under Rubikia evansii. RNAcentral's name for it is "partial 18S ribosomal RNA". Lineage: Eukaryota; Fungi; Ascomycota; Lecanoromycetes; Ostropales; Graphidaceae. The record is from RNAcentral.
GAGACAACAAUACUAACGAAUUUCCAGGUGAACCUGCGGAAGGAUCAUUA